GCGGCUCCGCUCGGCUCCUGUGCGGCUCCCGCCGGGCCCUCGGUCCCCGUCCGUCCCCGGCGCGGCAGGGCACGAUGGCGGCCGGGCUGGGGCCGUGGCUCCUGGCCUUGGCCUUAGCCUCGGGGCCGGCAGGGGUGUGGGCGCAGCUGAGGCUGGUGGAGGCCGGCGGAGGGCUGCGAGCUCCCGGGGACUCCGUGCACCUCACCUGCCGCGGAUCCGGCUUCACCUUCGGGAAUUACCCCGUUUAUUGGUACCGUCAGGCCCCCGGUGGUGGUCUCGAGUGGGUGUCUGUCAUCAGCCCUGAUUCCUCAUUUACUCAGUUCGGGCAGUCUGUGCAGGGUCGAGCGACGGUGUCCCGGGACAAUGCCCGGUCCGAGUCCUCUCUGUCCCUGAGUGUCCUGCAGCCCCAGGACUCUGCCCGCCACUUCUGUGCCGUUGACACGGAGACAGGAAAUCCAGCUGAGCUUUAACAGAAACCUGCUGGGGCCCAG
Chroicocephalus ridibundus (black-headed gull) is the source of this 491-nucleotide non-coding RNA. NCBI's taxonomy places the organism in Eukaryota, Metazoa, Chordata, Aves, Charadriiformes, Laridae. The record is from the annotation of a RefSeq genome assembly.